RNAcentral lists this ribosomal RNA (446 nucleotides) under uncultured bacterium. Its description in RNAcentral is "partial 16S ribosomal RNA". It matches the Rfam family "Bacterial small subunit ribosomal RNA", at positions 338 to 795 of the family's 1533-position model. The record is from RNAcentral.
CCUACGGGUGGCAGCAGUCGAGAAUCAUUCACAAUGGGGGAAACCCUGAUGGUGCGACGCCGCGUGGGGGAAUGAAGGUCUUCGGAUUGUAAACCCCUGUCAUGUGGGAGCAAAUUAAAAAGAUAGUACCACAAGAGGAAGAGACGGCUAACUCUGUGCCAGCAGCCGCGGUAAUACAGAGGUCUCAAGCGUUGUUCGGAAUCACUGGGCGUAAAGCGUGCGUAGGCUGUUUCGUAAGUCGUGUGUGAAAGGCGGGGGCUCAACCCGCGGACGGCACAUGAUACUGCGAGACUAGAGUAAUGGAGGGGGAACCGGAAGUCGCGGGGUAGCAGUGAAAUGCGUAGAGAUCGAGAGGAACACUCGUGGCGAAGGCGGGUUACUGGACAUUAACUGACGCUGAGGCACGAAGGCCAGGGGAGCGAAAGGGAUUAGAUACCCCUGUAGUC